This 550-nucleotide ribosomal RNA is filed under the name uncultured bacterium. RNAcentral describes it as "bacterial SSU rRNA". It matches the Rfam family "Bacterial small subunit ribosomal RNA", at positions 355 to 896 of the family's 1533-position model. The record is from RNAcentral.
UAGGGAAUCUUCGGCAAUGGACGGAAGUCUGACCGAGCAACGCCGCGUGAGUGAAGAAGGUUUUCGGAUCGUAAAGCUCUGUUGUAAGAGAAGAACGAGUGUGAGAGUGGAAAGUUCACACUGUGACGGUAUCUUACCAGAAAGGGACGGCUAACUACGUGCCAGCAGCCGCGGUAAUACGUAGGUCCCGAGCGUUGUCCGGAUUUAUUGGGCGUAAAGCGAGCGCAGGCGGUUAGAUAAGUCUGAAGUUAAAGGCUGUGGCUUAACCAUAGUAGGCUUUGGAAACUGUUUAACUUGAGUGCAAGAGGGGAGAGUGGAAUUCCAUGUGUAGCGGUGAAAUGCGUAGAUAUAUGGAGGAACACCGGUGGCGAAAGCGGCUCUCUGGCUUGUAACUGACGCUGAGGUUCGAAAGCGUGGGGAGCAAACAGGAUUAGAUACCCUGGUAGUCCACGCUGUAAACGAUGAGUGCUAGGCGUUAGACCCUUUCCGGGGUUUAGUGCCGUAGCUAACGCAUUAAGCACUCCGCCUGGGGAGUACGACCGCAAGGUUG